GCCGGGGAAACCCGAUUAACACCCCAUAACAUCCCGCCUCCGCAUGGCGCGGGAUUAAAACUCCGGUGGCGGAAGAUGGUCAUGCGUGGCAUUAGCUUGUUGGUGAGGUAACGGCUCACCAAGGCGACGAUCAGUAGCCGGCCUGAGAGGGUGUACGGCCACACUGGGACUGAGACACGGCCCAGACUCCUACGGGAGGCAGCAGUGGGGAAUAUUGCGCAAUGGGCGAAAGUGACGCAGCGACGCCUCGUGAGCGACGAAGCUUUCGGGAUGUAAAGCUCUGUCAAGAGAGAAGAUCAUGACGGUAUCUCUAAAGGAAGCCCCGGCUAACUACGUGCCAGCAGCCGCGGUAAUACGUAGGGGGCGAGCAUUAUCCGGAUUUACUGGGCAUAAAGGGCGCGUAGGGGUCAUUUAAGUCAGAUGUUAAAGGCUUCGGCUCAACCGAAGUUCGCAUUUGAUACUGAGUGACUAGAGGUCAGUAGAGGAAAGCGGAACUCAUAGUGUAGCGGUGAAAUGCGUAGAUAUUAUGAGGAACACCAGUUGCGAAGCGGCUUUCUGGACUGAAUCUGACGCUGAGGCGCGAAAGUGGGGAGCGAACGGGAUUAGAUACCCCGGUAGUCCACGCCGUAAACGGUGUUCACUAGGUGUAGGAGGUAUCGACCCCUUCUGUGCCACAGAUAAUUCGUUAAGUGAACCGCCUGGGAAGUACGACC
Molecule: ribosomal RNA, 713 nt
Filed under: uncultured bacterium
Lineage: Bacteria
Description: bacterial SSU rRNA
Rfam family: Bacterial small subunit ribosomal RNA
Source: RNAcentral